This 427-nucleotide ribosomal RNA is filed under the name uncultured Methylophilaceae bacterium. RNAcentral's name for it is "bacterial SSU rRNA". It matches the Rfam family "Bacterial small subunit ribosomal RNA", at positions 355 to 774 of the family's 1533-position model. The record is from RNAcentral. Lineage: Bacteria; Pseudomonadati; Pseudomonadota; Betaproteobacteria; Nitrosomonadales; Methylophilaceae.
UGGGGAAUUUUGGACAAUGGGCGAAAGCCUGAUCCAGCCAUUCCGCGUGAGUGAAGAAGGCCUUCGGGUUGUAAAGCUCUUUCGCAAGGGAAGAAAGAUUACUCUCUAACAUAGAGUGAUUAUGACGGUACCUUGAUAAGAAGCACCGGCUAACUACGUGCCAGCAGCCGCGGUAAUACGUAGGGUGCGAGCGUUAAUCGGAAUUACUGGGCGUAAAGCGUGCGCAGGCGGUUUUGUAAGUCAGAUGUGAAAUCCCCGAGCUCAACUUGGGAACUGCGUUUGAAACUACAAGACUAGAAUAUGUCAGAGGGGGGUAGAAUUCCACGUGUAGCAGUGAAAUGCGUAGAGAUGUGGAGGAAUAUCAAUGGCGAAGGCAGCCCCCUGGGAUAAUAUUGACGCUCAUGCACGAAAGCGUGGGGAGCAAACA